Molecule: ribosomal RNA, 514 nt
Filed under: Yamadazyma membranifaciens
Lineage: Eukaryota; Fungi; Ascomycota; Pichiomycetes; Serinales; Debaryomycetaceae
Description: eukaryotic LSU rRNA
Rfam family: Eukaryotic large subunit ribosomal RNA
Source: RNAcentral
UGCCUUAGUAGCGGCGAGUGAAGCGGCAAUAGCUCAAAUUUGAAAUCUGGCACCUUCGGUGUCCGAGUUGUAAUUUGAAGAAGGUAUCUUUGGUUUUGGCUCUUGUCUAUGUUCCUUGGAACAGGACGUCACAGAGGGUGAGAAUCCCKUGCGAUGAGAUGCCCAAUUCCAUGUAAAGUUCCUUCGACGAGUCGAGUUGUUUGGGAAUGCAGCUYUAAGUGGGUGGUAAAUUCCAUCUAAAGCUAAAUAUUGGCGAGAGACCGAUAGCGAACAAGUACUGUGAAGGAAAGAUGAAAAGAACUUUGAAAAGAGAGUGAAAAAGUACGUGAAAUUGUUGAAAGGGAAGGGCUUGAGAUUAGACUUGGAAUUUUCCAUUUAUGGAGCUUUCCGGGCCAGCAUCAGUUUGGAUGGCAGGAUAAUUGCGUUGGAAAGUAGCACCACUUCGGUGGUGUGUUAUAGACUUCGUCGAUACUGCCUAUCUAGACUGAGGACCGCGUCUUUGACUAGGAUGCUG